AGAGUUUGAUCCUGGCUCAGGAUGAACGCUAGCUACAGGCUUAACACAUGCAAGUCGAGGGGAAACGACAUCGAAAGCUUGCUUUUGAUGGGCGUCGACCGGCGCACGGGUGAGUAACGCGUAUCCAACCUGCCCACCACUUGGGGAUAACCUUGCGAAAGUAAGACUAAUACCCAAUGACGUCUCUAGAAGACAUCUGAAGGAGAUUAAAGAUUUAUCGGUGAUGGAUGGGGAUGCGUCUGAUUAGCUUGUUGGCGGGUAACGGCCACAAGGCGACGAUCAGUAGGGGUUCUGAGGAGGAAGGUCCCCCAGAUUGGAACUGAGACACGGUACCAAACUCCUACGGGAGGCA
This 352-nucleotide ribosomal RNA is filed under the name uncultured bacterium. Its description in RNAcentral is "bacterial SSU rRNA". It matches the Rfam family "Bacterial small subunit ribosomal RNA", at positions 8 to 350 of the family's 1533-position model. The record is from RNAcentral.